CAGCAGCCGCGGUAAUACGUAGGUGGCAAGCGUUGUCCGGAAUUAUUGGGCGUAAAGGGCUCGCAGGCGGUUUCUUAAGUCUGAUGUGAAAGCCCCCGGCUCAACCGGGGAGGGUCAUUGGAAACUGGGAAACUUGAGUGCAGAAGAGGAGAGUGGAAUUCCACGUGUAGCUGUGAAAUGCGUAGAGAUGUGGAGGAACACCAGUGGCGAAGGCGACUCUUUGGUCUGUAACUGACGCUGAGGAGCGAAAGCGUGGGGAGCGAACAGGAUUAGAUACCCGCGUAGUCCCUGUCUCUUAUAC
Molecule: ribosomal RNA, 301 nt
Filed under: uncultured bacterium
Lineage: Bacteria
Description: partial 16S ribosomal RNA
Rfam family: Bacterial small subunit ribosomal RNA
Source: RNAcentral